CUUUCCUACGUUGGCACAGUAAAGAAAAACAAAAGAGAGCUGCCACCUGAAUUUUUCACAACGAAAUCUAGGGAAGUGUAUUCAAGUCGCUUUGGAUUCAAUCGCGGUACUACAUUAGUAUCAUACGUACCGAAGAAGAACAAAACUGUUAUCCUUGUGUCCAGCUUUCAUCACGAUAAAUCUCUUGAUUCAGAAACAGGCGAGAAAAAGAAACCAUCGAUAAUUACAUUUUACAAUUCCACAAAGGGAGUAGUAGACAAUGUUGACAAAAUGUGUGCUACAUUCAGCAUUGCAAGGAAUAUAAAACGUUGGCCUAUGAAUAUAUUCUUCACCAUGUUGAAUGUUGCUGGUAUAAAUUCGCAGAUAAUUUAUCUGGGAAAUGAUUUGAAACCAAUAAAGAGGCGUCUAUUUCUGAAGCAGCUUUCUCACGUACUUACGUUAGAUGAACUUCAAAGACGAAGUGAAAAAACAAUCGGCAUUCCGCUGCAUAUUCAAUCAAAACUGAAAUGAUUUCGUAAUUGUGAAAAUGUAGAAGAAGAUAAAGAGGAAACUUUAGAAGGCGCAUUACAUGCACUACGGAUAGCGGACGACGUAAAGAAAUGACUGCAGCAAGUGUAAACGUGCGUUAUGUAUGGAACAUGCUACUUUUUAUUGUAAUAAAUGCUCAGAAAUUGCUUUCGCCAAUGUUGUAGAGCAAAUGGAAU
Molecule: non-coding RNA, 704 nt
Organism: Pelobates cultripes (western spadefoot toad)
Lineage: Eukaryota; Metazoa; Chordata; Amphibia; Anura; Pelobatidae
Source: the annotation of a GenBank genome assembly